Molecule: ribosomal RNA, 543 nt
Filed under: Bifidobacterium bifidum
Lineage: Bacteria; Bacillati; Actinomycetota; Actinomycetes; Bifidobacteriales; Bifidobacteriaceae
Description: bacterial SSU rRNA
Rfam family: Bacterial small subunit ribosomal RNA
Source: RNAcentral
GGGUGGUAAUGCCGGAUGUUCCACAUGAUCGCAUGUGAUUGUGGGAAAGAUUCUAUCGGCGUGGGAUGGGGUCGCGUCCUAUCAGCUUGUUGGUGAGGUAACGGCUCACCAAGGCUUCGACGGGUAGCCGGCCUGAGAGGGCGACCGGCCACAUUGGGACUGAGAUACGGCCCAGACUCCUACGGGAGGCAGCAGUGGGGAAUAUUGCACAAUGGGCGCAAGCCUGAUGCAGCGACGCCGCGUGAGGGAUGGAGGCCUUCGGGUUGUAAACCUCUUUUGUUUGGGAGCAAGCCUUCGGGUGAGUGUACCUUUCGAAUAAGCGCCGGCUAACUACGUGCCAGCAGCCGCGGUAAUACGUAGGGCGCAAGCGUUAUCCGGAUUUAUUGGGCGUAAAGGGCUCGUAGGCGGCUCGUCGCGUCCGGUGUGAAAGUCCAUCGCUUAACGGUGGAUCUGCGCCGGGUACGGGCGGGCUGGAGUGCGGUAGGGGAGACUGGAAUUCCCGGUGUAACGGUGGAAUGUGUAGAUAUCGGAAAAGAAACACCA